CCAUGCUCAUGGCGACCACUGGAAGGAGUGAAAAUAGGGCUCUUGACUGCAUUCAAAUUCUGCUGAAAGGGGACAAAAAAAAAAAAAAAAAGAAAGAACCAGAGACCAAAAAGGGAAACUAAAACCCUUAGAUUGAAGAAGUUUAGAGACCCUGAUCUAGUACCUUGGGCCUGUCAGUCUGAAAGCAGUGUUGGCAUCCAGACACUGUCACCCACCUUGUCUGAAACCAGGGGCAGCCGCAUGCUCUCCAGGUGUUUACCCUGCUUGCUGAAGACAAAAUGACUCUCUUUGGAUUUGGGAAUGAUGAAGUAGAGCUGCACCUCUUCUCCCAGCAUAGAGGAUGAGAAUGUGAAUGCAUGAAGGGUGGAGUCAGACAUCUAGGUUUGUAAAGAAGGAAGGAAGGGGAUGUAAGCUCAUGGUUUGCAAACUUCUCGACCACUUGUUAACAUUCUUAAGAGAGGUGAACUAACCUGAACUCAUACAUGCCAUCAGACUUGGCUGUCCCUGAAAUGUCGGAAGAGUUGGAAACGCAAACAUUUCAUCUUUUAGUAGCUGCCAUUGACCUGAGAGCCAAGCCUCCUGCCCCUACACAGCCUCUCCACGGGUAAAGUUUCUGUUGCUUGACACUGUCUUUUGCAUUCCUUAUGUUCUUAGAACCACUACUCCUCAGUCUUAUGCAGAGGUUAAAUAGUCCUGCUCGCUAAACAUUUUCAAAGGUGCCCAAAUAUAGGGGAAAAAAUCAUUUCCAUCUGUAUGCAUCAGGCUAAAUGAGUAUCAUUUUUUUAAGUAAAAUAUUAGGGCCAACAUCAUUAAAAUGCCUCCAUGGUCCCAUCUUUCCUGGCUACCGUGGAAGCUGAAGAAGUUUCAAAGUCAUUUAGCAUAGAACUCCGGCUUCCAGGAGAGACCAUCUGACCCACUGAAGCCAAUUAUAAAUCUAACUUAUUUUUAAAAUUGCCAGAAAGUUGGGACACCUGGCUGACUCAGUCAGUAGAGCAUGUGACUCUUGAUUUUAUGACCAGGAGUUCAAGCUGCACGUUAGGUACAGAGCUUACUUGAAAAAAAAAAGUGUUAUAAAGUUCACAUGCUCGCUCAGUAACCCAGCUCAAUGAGUAAUUACAUAAUUUAUGUGCUUUACAAUGCAGACAGUACUUGGCUUAAUGAAAGGAUAGCAUCAAUUUUCAGCAGCAACUAGAGUCCAGGUAGAUUUCCUAAGAUUUUUAACCUAAAUAUUAUAUUUCCUAGGAAAAUAGUAUAAUUCUUCCCUUGAAUUCUGGUUCAUUCUGCUUCACAAGCAUUGGAAUAUACUAGUGAGUACAAUGAUCACAGAAACUAUAUAAACAGAGGAUUCUUAAGUUAUCUAGAAGCUUAUGAUUUGUAGACCAGGUACUUGAAUCUUCUAUAUUCUGUAAAGCAUCAUGAGUGGUUUACAAAUUAGCCCACCAAAAGCUUUCGGUUAACACCAAGAAAACAAAUGGUACAUAAAAGGUAAUUUGUGUUACAAGAGCAGAAUGACCAACCCAGUUUUUCAGUAUAUCACUUCUAGCCCCUGUGGGAAAAGGGUGGAGACCUGAUCCUUAAGAGCAGAAGCAAGUUUGGGUGAAGUCUAAUCAGCAUGUCCCAUAGGAAGAGUUUUAGGUGUUCGGAACUAAGUCAUAAAAAUCAAGAAGCUAAAGUGGGAGAAAGCAACAGAGAACUUCUCCCCUACAUAGGUUCUGGACCACUGUCACCUGCUGCCUUUACCAUCUUGAGUGUUUACAGAUGCUCUGGCCAAAAAGAAACAAAGACAGUGGGGUAUUGGCUCACCUUCUGUGUUCCUUCCUCUCACUUCUCU
This is a long non-coding RNA of Acinonyx jubatus (cheetah), 1831 nucleotides long. RefSeq lists it as uncharacterized. The record is from RefSeq and is a predicted model, not a curated record. NCBI's taxonomy places the organism in Eukaryota, Metazoa, Chordata, Mammalia, Carnivora, Felidae. The transcript has 2 exons.